Mustela erminea (ermine) is the source of this 235-nucleotide long non-coding RNA. RefSeq lists it as uncharacterized. The record is from RefSeq and is a predicted model, not a curated record. NCBI's taxonomy places the organism in Eukaryota, Metazoa, Chordata, Mammalia, Carnivora, Mustelidae. The transcript is spliced from 3 exons.
UGCGCGUGUGCGCGCGUGUGUGCUACAGUAUGAGUCGAACUGAGGGGGCUGCUGCAGCCUACCUCCCCUCCCCCCAGUCCCCAGGAGAGCAGUGAAUCAGCCUGACAAUGAGGCACUCUGCUGGGAGGAGAUGUGCGGUUUCUGCAUCAAGAAGCUUGCAGUUUAGAGGAAGAAACGGACACUGACCCUAUAAUGCCACAAAUAGAUAUAUACAAAGAUGAAGAAAGCAAAAGGU